GACGAACGCUGGCGGCGUGCUUAACACAUGCAAGUCGAACGGAAAGGCCCUGCUUUUGUGGGGUGCUCGAGGGGCGAACGGGUGAGUAACACGUGAGUAACCUGCCCUUGACUUUGGGAUAAAUUCAGGAAACUGGGGCUAAUAACGGAUAGGAGCUCCUGCUGCAUGGUGGGGGUUGGAAAGUUUCGGCGGUUGGGGAUGGACUCGCGGCUUAUCAGCUUGUUGGUGGGGUAGUGGCUUACCAAGGCUUUGACGGGUAGCCGGCCUGAGAGGGUGACCGGCCACAUUGGGACUGAGAUACGGCCCAGACUCCUACGGGAGGCAGCAGUGGGGAAUAUUGCACAAUGGGCGGAAGCCUGAUGCAGCAACGCCGCGUGCGGGAUGACGGCCUUCGGGUUGUAAACCGCUUUCGCCUGUGACGAAGCGUGAGUGACGGUAAUGGGUAAAGAAGCACCGGCUAACUACGUG
This 468-nucleotide ribosomal RNA is filed under the name uncultured bacterium. Its description in RNAcentral is "partial 16S ribosomal RNA". It matches the Rfam family "Bacterial small subunit ribosomal RNA", at positions 28 to 507 of the family's 1533-position model. The record is from RNAcentral.